Molecule: small nucleolar RNA, 132 nt
Organism: Echinops telfairi (small Madagascar hedgehog)
Lineage: Eukaryota; Metazoa; Chordata; Mammalia; Afrosoricida; Tenrecidae
Product: small nucleolar RNA SNORA72
Exons: 1
Source: RefSeq, a predicted model, not a curated record
CUGCAAAUAUUCUCACUGCCCUGGUUUUGUGAUAGCCAGGGCAGGCUAAGCAUUCGCUAUAGUAAGACCAUGCAGGUGUCCCUAGGCUGAGUUCUUUCUCUGGGCUUGGUUUUAUAAAUGCUGGUGCUAAGU